GAUGAACGCUGGCGGCGUGCCUAAUACAUGCAAGUCGAGCGGACAGACGAGGAGCUUGCUCCUCUGACGUUAGCGGCGGACGGGUGAGUAACACGUGGAUAACCUACCUAUAAGACUGGGAUAACUUCGGGAAACCGGAGCUAAUACCGGAUAAUAUAUUGAACCGCAUGGUUCAAUAGUGAAAGACGGUUUUGCUGUCACUUAUAGAUGGAUCCGCGCCGCAUUAGCUAGUUGGUAAGGUAACGGCUUACCAAGGCAACGAUGCGUAGCCGACCUGAGAGGGUGAUCGGCCACACUGGAACUGAGACACGGUCCAGACUCCUACGGGAGGCAGCAGUAGGGAAUCUUCCGCAAUGGGCGAAAGCCUGACGGAGCAACGCCGCGUGAGUGAUGAAGGUCUUCGGAUCGUAAAACUCUGUUAUUAGGGAAGAACAAAUGUGUAAGUAACUAUGCACGUCUUGACGGUACCUAAUCAGAAAGCUACGGCUAACUACGUG
This 497-nucleotide ribosomal RNA is filed under the name uncultured bacterium. RNAcentral describes it as "partial 16S ribosomal RNA". It matches the Rfam family "Bacterial small subunit ribosomal RNA", at positions 28 to 507 of the family's 1533-position model. The record is from RNAcentral.